RNAcentral lists this ribosomal RNA (406 nucleotides) under uncultured bacterium. RNAcentral describes it as "partial 16S ribosomal RNA". It matches the Rfam family "Bacterial small subunit ribosomal RNA", at positions 29 to 526 of the family's 1533-position model. The record is from RNAcentral.
AUUGAACGCUGGCGGCAGGCCUAACACAUGCAAGUCGAACGAGUGGCGGACGGGUGAGUAAUGUCUGGGAAACUGCCUGAUGGAGGGGGAUAACUACUGGAAACGGUAGCUAAUACCGCAUACAAUCCGAUGUGCCCAUAUGGGAUUAGCUAGUUGGUGGGGUAACGGCUCACCAGGGCGACGAUCCCUAGCUGGUCUGAGAGGAUGACCAGCAAGACUGGAACUGAGACACGGUCCAGCAGCCUAAGGGAGGCAGCAGUGGGGAAUAGUGCACAAUGGGCGCAAGCCUGAUGCAGCCAUGCCGCGGGUAUGAAGAAGGCCUUAGGGGUGGAAAGUACGUUCAGCGGGGAGGCGUUACCCGCAGAAGAAGCACCGGCUAACUCCGUGCCAGCAGCCGCGGUAAUAC